CCACGCGCCCCCACGCGCAUCAUCUUCCUCAGCCAGUCGCUGGACUGGUUUUUCCGGUGGCCGGAUUCCGGCGAGUUUUAAAAUCACUUGUUCUCCUUCGUUUCUCAACCGUUUUCUUCGAAUUUUAUAUCAAUUUGAAGCCCUCAACAUGUAGAAUCACGAUGGACAAGUUUCAAGGUCUAAAAUUCACUAGAUUUUACCUGGGGAAGCACGAUAGUUCAGAAAUUUUGAGAACCUCCGUUCUCGGUCAUCCGACGUCCA
Molecule: long non-coding RNA, 261 nt
Filed under: Malus domestica (apple)
Lineage: Eukaryota; Viridiplantae; Streptophyta; Magnoliopsida; Rosales; Rosaceae
Description: long non-coding RNA (MDOM_LNC014625)
Source: RNAcentral